This 745-nucleotide ribosomal RNA is filed under the name Longimicrobiales bacterium. RNAcentral's name for it is "bacterial SSU rRNA". It matches the Rfam family "Bacterial small subunit ribosomal RNA", at positions 1 to 715 of the family's 1533-position model. Lineage: Bacteria; Pseudomonadati; Gemmatimonadota; Longimicrobiia; Longimicrobiales. The record is from RNAcentral.
CUAACGGAGAGUUUGAUCCUGGCUCAGGACGAACGCUGGCGGCGUGCUUAACACAUGCAAGUCGAACGAGGAACAGGAGCUGCUUGCAGCACCUGGAUUCGAGUGGCGAACGGGUGAGUAACACGUGACCAAUCUGCCUUCAGGAGGGGGACAACCCGGGGAAACCUGGGCUAAUACCGCGUAAUGUGCUUUCGUCGCAUGACGGCUGCACCAAAGAUGGCCUCUUUACAAUGCUAUCGCCUGGAGAGGGGGUCGCGACGUAUCAGCUUGUUGGUGAGGUAACGGCUCACCAAGGCUACGACGCGUAGCGGGUCUGAGAGGACGACCCGUCACAUUGGGACUGAGAUACGGCCCAGACUCCUACGGGAGGCAGCAGUGGGGAAUAUUGCGCAAUGGCCGAAAGGCUGACGCAGCGACGCCGCGUGUGGGAGGAAGCCCUUCGGGGUGUAAACCACUGUCAGGGGGGAAGAACCCCGUCCAUGAGAACAUUGUGGGCGGCUGACGGUACCCCCAAAGGAAGCACCGGCUAACUCCGUGCCAGCAGCCGCGGUAAUACGGAGGGUGCAAGCGUUGUUCGGAAUUACUGGGCGUAAAGCGCGGGCAGGCGGUUCGUUAAGUCCCCUGUGAAACUCCGAAGCUCAACUUCGGACAUGCAGGAGAUACUGGCGAGCUAGAGAUCGGUAGAGGCAGGCGGAAUUCCUGGUGUAGCGGUGGAAUGCGUAGAUAUCAGGAAGAACACCUGUGG